GACGGACGCUGGCGGCGUGCUUAACACAUGCAAGUCGAACGGAAAGGCCCUGCUUUUGUGGGGUGCUCGAGUGGCGAACGGGUGAGUAACACGUGAGUAACCUGCCCUUGACUUUGGGAUAACUUCAGGAAACUGGGGCUAAUACCGGAUAGGAGCUCCUGCUGCAUGGUGGGGGUUGGAAAGUUUCGGCGGUUGGGGAUGGACUCGCGGCUUAUCAGCUUGUUGGUGGGGUAGUGGCUUACCAAGGCUUUGACGGGUAGCCGGCCUGAGAGGGUGACCGGCCACAUUGGGACUGAGAUACGGCCCAGACUCCUACGGGAGGCAGCAGUGGGGAAUAUUGCACAAUGGGCGGGAGCCUGAUGCAGCAACGCCGCGUGCGGGAUGACGGCCUUCGGGUUGUAAACCGCUUUCGCCUGUGACGAAGCGUGAGUGACGGUAAUGGGUAAAGAAGCACCGGCUAACUACGUG
This 468-nucleotide ribosomal RNA is filed under the name uncultured bacterium. RNAcentral describes it as "partial 16S ribosomal RNA". It matches the Rfam family "Bacterial small subunit ribosomal RNA", at positions 28 to 507 of the family's 1533-position model. The record is from RNAcentral.